Molecule: ribosomal RNA, 406 nt
Filed under: uncultured bacterium
Lineage: Bacteria
Description: partial 16S ribosomal RNA
Rfam family: Bacterial small subunit ribosomal RNA
Source: RNAcentral
AUUGAACGCUGGCGGCAGGCCUAACACAUGCAAGUCGAGCGAGCGGCGGACGGGUGAGUAAUGUAUGAGGAUCUGCCCGAUAGAGGGGGAUAACUACUGGAAACGGUGGCUAAUACCGCAUACUGUCGGAUGAACCCAUGUGGGAUUAGCUAGUAGGUGUGGUAAAGGCUAACCUAGGCGACGAUCUCUAGCUGGUCUGAGAGGAUGAUCAGCCACACUGGGACUGAGACACGGCCCAGACUCCUACGGGAGGCAGCAGUGGGGAAUAUUGCACAAUGGGCGAAAGCCUGAGACAGCCAUGCCGCGUGUAUGAAGAAGGCCUUCGGGUUGUAAAGUACUUUCAGCGGGGAGGCGUUACCCGAAGAAGAAGCACCGGCUAACUCCGUGCCAGCAGCCGCGGUAAUUC